AGCUUCUCCUGUGGCACCAUGAAGCCCUUGAUAGCUCUGACUAGCUUCACCUGGCACCUCCUCUGCCCAUGAGCCUGGCCUGGGCAGUACUAUGGGCAUGCCACUGCCCCCGUCUCCUGAUGUAGGUGUUGAUUUCAGCUUUGGGGACACUGUGUGGUCACAGAUGUGUGGUCCCCAUGGAUGCCUGCCUGCUCAGCCAGGGGCAUCAUUGCGUUGGGCAAGCUGUGGCCUGGGCAGCGACAGUGGUGUCAGAGGACCCAUGGUGGAGCUUUGGAGGCAGUGACUGUAUUUUAAUCUCCCUGUGUGGAUGUGGUUAUUUUGGAGUCACAAUGUGGUGUGAAGGGCUUGGAGACAUCAAAGCAAAUUGCAUCUUCAAAAGCUGGACUGAUGAGAGCAUCCUGCCCUGGUCCCUGGUUCCAGCCAGAGCCAACAAGUGAGAUGCAUGUGAAAAUGAAAGAGGUAUAUGGAGCAAUAAUAAAGUCCCUCUUGCCAAAUCUGAAAAAUGUCA
RNAcentral lists this long non-coding RNA (508 nucleotides) under Anser brachyrhynchus (Pink-footed goose). RNAcentral's name for it is "lncRNA (ENSABRG00000014000.1)". The record is from RNAcentral. Lineage: Eukaryota; Metazoa; Chordata; Aves; Anseriformes; Anatidae.